This 3749-nucleotide long non-coding RNA is filed under the name Bemisia tabaci. RNAcentral describes it as "lncRNA ENSSSA1UGG007827". Lineage: Eukaryota; Metazoa; Arthropoda; Insecta; Hemiptera; Aleyrodidae. The record is from RNAcentral.
AUGUGGAAUUUUGGUGUUCUGUUAGUUGGUAUCAGUGUGGUGGUGGUUAGUGCGGGUAUGGAUAUUCUUCCUUCUUCCUCCAUAGUGACGUCAUCACCAAACAUAAGACCCUCCAAUGAAACAGCGACUCCCGUGUCUAAGGACGCAAAUGAAAGGCAAAUCGAAGACACCUCUGCGACGGAUUUUGUAGAUGAGAUGCUCAACCUUUUCGUUCAGUUUGUCAGCAAUGAUAAAGAUGCAAGUUCGAGCGGUCAAGAAGAGUCUAAGCUGGUUAACAAUGCAUCCGAAGGCAGAGGAGUUGGCCGGCUGAAGAAAUUCCUACUACCAUUCCUGUUGGGUGUCUCGAUGAAGACAAAAGCUGUGAUCAUAGCGGCCAUCGGGUUCCUGAUGGUUCUCACGAAAAUCACGUUCAUCAAGAGCAAGAUAGCGCUCGUGAUCGGAGUGGGUCUGCUCCUGUACCACCUCUACGUGAAGAAACACGCCAUCCACCACAUCAAACACGCCCUCCACCACCCGGUGCCGUACGACGUGUCGCCCGCCUGGUCAGCGCCCCUCGCCGCUUGGGCCAUCCCCGAUUGGGGCGCUGCAGCCGCCCUCCCCGCCGCCGGCCACCUCGCCGCCGCCCCCUACGUACCCCACAUCCUCCGCAAAACUUCCCACGAGCAACCGACCCGAUUCCGCAGAUGAUCAUCCCUCAUGUUCCCGAUUUAGCUUAGGUAAUUUAUUUCUUAGUAAUUAGUCGAUUCUGUAAAAUACACCAUCAUUCCUAUCAAAGAAUUUUAUUCCACAAAGUCAUUUCACCCUACCUCAUUGGCACUGACUAUAAAAUGGAUUGCAAUUUGCAAAAAGGAACCACUAGCAUUGCAAUGAUGCUAAGAUUGUGCAACUUCAUCCUUUGCAAUAAAAUUGCGGAAAUCGUGAAAGACUAUGAAAUUUAGAUGGUAUUUUUUGUCUUAAAUUUACAGUUUUUAGCGAGUAAAAUAGAAACUAUUAAUGGAUAAUCGGGUUUUUCCUCCAAGACAAAAGAAGUUGCACAAUCUUAGCAACAUUGCAAUGCUAGUGGUUCCUUUUUGCAAAAUGCAAUCCAAAUAAUGUUAGACUCAGAAAGAAAGAAAAAAUCAAAUUGAUAAAAUGUAGCAUGUUACCGAAACCCAUUUUUCAAUUAAAAUUCACCGAAAAUACACUUUUGAAAAAAAAAUGGAAAAAUUGGCAUGGCAAUUUCGUGAAGUUCUAAAAAACAUUCAUAUUUGGUGUUUACCAUUAGCUAAGCACGGAAUAAACUACAAAAUAUGUAACAUAAUGAAACUAAAAAUUUAAAAUUGUUGGUAAAUUUACUAAAAUGGAGUGAUAUUUAUAUACUUGUAAAAGUUCAGGGUGGCCUUUUUACGCACAGGUGAACAAAACGGGUUUCCGAACUCGGAUAUUCUAACAGUUUUUUUAGUUUUCUCCUUGAAAUUUACGAGUUUGCUAGACUAUUUUUUUAAUGGUCAACGCUAAAAAGGAAGUUAAAUGUUGUAUAAUUCGGUCUGGUUUACACGGGAAUGAGAAUUGAAAAAGUUUCUUAUCAAAAUGUUCUAAGUAUAAAUUAUGGACCUGAACCUUAGUAAAAUGCACCCCUCCUUGCCGUAUACGCGUGUUCUAAUGCUAAUUUUUAAGGAGUUUUCUUUUUAAAAAUUAAUAUACAAGGUUUAUGACUGAGCAAGUUUGAGCAAAUAUUUUCCUUGGAAAAUUUAUUCUACAUCAUUUUUGAAAGAACUAUCAAAUUAUUCUAAAAUGUAUGUACUUUCUGCGGCUUAAAACAAAAAAAAUUAUGAAUUACAUGAAAAUUUGCAUACAGUGUGAUCGUGCAUUUAACAUGGAGGUGGUCCGAUUUCGUACUGUUUGACUAUUAUGUAAACUCGAGUAUAAGGUAAAGAGGCAAUUCUCAGAGACUUUAGUGGAUGACAAUGUAACUAUUCGCUCAGAAACAAUUGAAAAUUCGACCACCUUCUUCCUUUUCCCUGUUUCUCCGAAACAUUCUCCGACAGCAGGUCUAUGAACAAUAGACGGAGUAAACCAGGAAACAAAUGGGCCACAUUGAGUUUGGAUGUGUACGUCUUUUCUAUCAGGCAUCAAAAACCUUCCUAUAAGUUAAAGAAACACAAUUAAUAUUGAGUCGAUAAUUUUUACAUCAUGGCAUAAAAUUACUGGUUUGAAUCAUAUGAUUCACUAUUUAACAAUGCUAUUCUCAUUUCAACCCGAAUGCCAUGUAUGAUUAAAAAAGAUCGUUCCCUAAAGUUUAAUACGCUGUAGCCCCUUUAGUCGAUGAUUUCAACUAUUACCAAGAAAAAAACUAAAUCACCAAGUGUCAUUUUCGUUCGCCACGUCAGAGGUUGCAUUCCCGUUGUUUAUUCAAUUUUAAAAAUCCCAAUUUGAAAAUGUUUAGGUGAUCAAGCUGGAAAUGAGAUGAAACGAUUUUAAAGUUUCCUGAACACUUGGACUGAUCUCAUUUUGCAAUUUGGACACUGAGACUCAUGAGAUUACACUCAUGCCGAGACUCACAUCGAUGGCCAAUGUACAAAACCACGUAUUUCCGCUUGCGACGUUACAGGUUUCCUGACAUACUCUAUUGUUCCUUUGGAAAAGUAAUUGACACAAGUAGUUUUAUAUAAAAGUUACUGUUACUUUCCUUCUCUGUUAGCAAAUUAACUAGUGAAAAUUUCAGGAUAUAAACUUGGUUUGUUUUUCUUCGGAAAAAUAACAUAUUUUAUUUAGAAGCGGACAUUUUGAAACACCGCAAUGGACAUACGGGGGUUUCACACUUUGGCCAUAGAUUUCCCAUAACGAAUAUGGUUUAUUUUUAAUUUGAAUGUGUCCAAGUGAGAAGGAGUUCGUUUGAAAUUCGCGCAUGAAACCAACCGUUCCGUUCACAUAAAACAAAACCCUCUGGUGGUCAUGAACGAACUUUCAUUCAACAGAGAGGCGGAUCCAGCAAUUUGGCAACACCGGAUGGAUUUCCUCCAUUCAUCCCUGUGUUGAAUAAUCGAUUCUUGUCAAAGUACCUGGCCCCUACAAGAAUCGAUACCUACAUUUUCCUAAGUUUAAAUGAAGAAAAAGCAAUGUUACCGAUUUGCUGGAACCGCCAGUGAAUCAACAAGACAAGAAAAGUUGCGAUGGAAGAACCAGAGUCCCUGUUUCAAUUCACUUUAUCUUCUCCAAAAAUUUUUACUGUGUAGAUAGCAUUCGCGGUAUAGGCGAAAGUUAAUAUUGAAAAUAGCGCAUAAGCUGCUUAUAGCGAAGUAAACUCAAGCACUAAGUAUAGUUAAACUUAUUAUUAGCAUCAUAAGGUGAACGAGGUCUAUCAGAACACUGCUCAAACAGUUCGGCUCUAGUGAAAGAAUUAUUUUUAGCGAGUAUGUAACUGGCCCAACUGACGUCCUACUAUACGCAGAUACGCAGAAGAUUUCCAUGACAUUCGACUGAGAUGGUGCAGGAAUGUUUUUGUUUGAUCAAAGCCGUAUUGGUUUGCGCCCUUUGGUCCGGUGCCGCGGUGCGAUGCUGGUCCUAGGCUGUCAUCGUCACCUUGCGACGAAUUCAAGGUAAAACGGCGUCUACAGGUGGACGCUGGACAGACGGGGAAAGUAAAACGUAUCCGAUAAUAAAGACAAUAACGAGGCGUAAUUAUGGUACCGACAGUCGUCACGAGCUGACGAGAUAUCACUGAUAUCAUCCGGAAUGUACGGGGAACAUUGAAUGAUGCGCCGUUGCCA